UACGGAAGGCAGCAGUGGGGAAUAUUGCACAAUGGGCGAAAGCCUGAUGCAGCUAUGCCGCGUGUAUGAAGAAGGCCUUAGGGUUGUAAAGUACUUUCAUCGGGGAGGAAAAACAAAACUAAUAAUUUUAUUUCUUGACGUUACCCGAAAAAGAAGCACCGGCUAACUCCGUGCCAGCAGCCGCGGUAAUACGGAGGGUGCUAGCGUUAAUCAGAAUUACUGGGCGUAAAGAGCACGUAGGUGGUUUUUUUAAGUCAGAUGUGAAAUCCCUGGGCUUAACCUGGAAACUGCAUUUUGAAACUGAAAUACUAGAGUAUCGUAGAGGGAGGUAGAAUUCUAGGUGUAGCGGUGAAAUGCGUAGAUAUCUGGAGGAAUACCUGUGGCGAAAGCGGCCUCCUAAACGAAUACUGACACUGAGGUGCGAAAGCGUGGGGAGCAAACAGGGAUUAGAUACC
RNAcentral lists this ribosomal RNA (455 nucleotides) under uncultured bacterium. RNAcentral describes it as "bacterial SSU rRNA". It matches the Rfam family "Bacterial small subunit ribosomal RNA", at positions 340 to 786 of the family's 1533-position model. The record is from RNAcentral.